CACGUAGGCGGAUCAGAAAGUCAGAGGUGAAAUCCCAGGGCUCAACCUUGGAACUGCCUUUGAAACUCCUGAUCUUGAGGUCGAGAGAGGUGAGUGGAAUUCCGAGUGUAGAGGUGAAAUUCGUAGAUAUUCGGAGGAACACCAGUGGCGAAGGCGGCUCACUGGCUCGAUACUGACGCUGAGGUGCGAAAGCGUGGGGAGCAAACA
This 207-nucleotide ribosomal RNA is filed under the name uncultured bacterium. Its description in RNAcentral is "partial 16S ribosomal RNA". It matches the Rfam family "Bacterial small subunit ribosomal RNA", at positions 568 to 774 of the family's 1533-position model. The record is from RNAcentral.